CAAUUGUUGCGGCUGCCCACCAAAUUCUUGUCAUAAAAUAAGGAAAUCGGACACCAGACAUAUGGCGGAGGCAGCCAAUGUACGUCAGAAUCUGCAGAAUGUGCCGUCGAUCUUUGAAAUAUCAGCAGCUGAGACGCUGGACAACCUUAUCUAUCCAGCGCUGAGCAAAGUUUUCGAUUACUUUGGCCUGCGUUUGGACUUUAAGCUUUGGGGCAACAUACGCGUACGCGAAGAGCUAUCGCCGCUUAUUACAUGGAUCCUACAGUAUUUGUAUUUGCGCAAACGUGCCUCCUCCUUCGGCGAAAGCUUCUACGGGCUGCAACGAACUGCCAGCAGCACCGGAGAGCUGCUCACCCGCCGGCAACAGUUCAGCUCCGCGACGCUGUUGACUCUGCUGCCCUAUGUCGAGCGCAAGCUGCGAGCGCGCAGCGCUCAGCAUGAGGACACCUAUGCCUGGGAGUCGCAGCUGAUUAAUCUGUUCCAUGUCUAUAACGCCUCCAAGGCGGUGCACACAUUCCUGUACCUAAUCAAAUAUGCGUCCAGCCACUCGCCGCUGUUUCGUGCGCUGCGCCUGACGCUGCGCUAUCCCAGCGAACCGCCCCAGGAGGACAAGUGGACGUACUUGUUCCUCAAACUGCUCGAAGUGCUGGCCUUCUUCCUGCAGUUCAUACAGUGGUGGUACUCGAACGAUCAGCGCCGCAAGCUGGGCGGCACACUACAAAAUCCGGAGCCCCUGCCGGAACGUGAACUGCCCCAGGAGCUGAGGGAAACAUUGCCAAAGAGCGGCGAAUGCCCCGUUUGUUUGCUGCCGCUGCAAACGCCAACAGCGUGCGCUGUAUCCGGCUAUGUCUAUUGCUGGAAAUGCAUUGUGAUGCAUCUCAAAGAGAAGGGCACAUGCCCCGUGACCAGCUAUCCCAUUACCAUUGAGGAUCUGACUUUCAGUUCCAAAACAAUUAGGCGUCUGCCAAAUAGCAACCAAAAUUGAGGCACAGAUUGACAUGAUGGAAAUCCAGAUACGAUGUCCAUAUAUGGCACGCUAUAGACAGGGUCAACGUGUAUUCACAAAACGAAAAAACCGAAUAGGCUCACACAGUGAGACGGGAGUUAAGGGAAGACGGACAAUAUUUGAAAGAUAAAGAACCAAUUAGAAGCAAGUUUUCUUAUUAGAACUUUAAUAUCUGAGGUACUCGUGUACGGUCUAAUGCCAUAUAUGUCCAAUUGGUCAUGUCUUUUCUU
This 1236-nucleotide unclassified non-coding RNA is filed under the name Drosophila virilis. RNAcentral describes it as "GJ17796". Lineage: Eukaryota; Metazoa; Arthropoda; Insecta; Diptera; Drosophilidae. The record is from RNAcentral.